RNAcentral lists this unclassified non-coding RNA (402 nucleotides) under soil metagenome. RNAcentral describes it as "partial contains 5.8S ribosomal RNA, internal transcribed spacer 2, and large subunit ribosomal RNA". The stretch from base 1 to 121 matches the Rfam family "5.8S ribosomal RNA", at positions 35 to 154 of the family's 154-position model. The record is from RNAcentral.
GAUGAAGAACGUAGCGAAAUGCGAUGAGUAAUGUGAAUUGCAGAAUUCAGUGAAUCAUCGAAUCUUUGAACGCACCUUGCGCCCUUUGGCUAUUCUGAAGGGCAUGCCUGUUUGAGUAUCAUGAACACCUCAACUCUCAUGGUUCGCCAUGAUGAGCUUGGACUUUGGGGGUCUUGCUGGCCUACGGUCGGCUCCUCUCAAAUGAAUCAGCUUGCCAGUGUUUGGUAGAGUCGCAGGUGUGAUAACUAUCUACGCUUGUGGUUUUCUGCCAGAUAACCUUCAGUGAUGGAGGUUCGCUGGAGCUUAUAAAUGUCUCUCCCCAGUGAGGACAGCUUUUUGAACGUUUGAUCUCAAAUCAGGUAGGACUACCCGCUGAACUUAAGCAUAUCAAUAAGCGGAGGA